RNAcentral lists this ribosomal RNA (253 nucleotides) under uncultured bacterium. RNAcentral describes it as "partial 16S ribosomal RNA". It matches the Rfam family "Bacterial small subunit ribosomal RNA", at positions 524 to 776 of the family's 1533-position model. The record is from RNAcentral.
UACGGAGGGUGCAAGCGUUGUCCGGAAUCAUUGGGCGUAAAGCGCGCGUAGGCGGCCCGGUAAGUCCGCUGUGAAAGUCCAGGGCUCAACCCUGGAAAGCCGGUGGAUACUGCCGGGCUAGAGUCCGGAAGAGGCGAGUGGAAUUCCUGGUGUAGCGGUGGAAUGCGCAGAUAUCAGGAGGAACACCAAUAGCGAAGGCAGCUCGCUGGGACGGUACUGACGCUGAGGUGCGAAAGCGUGGGGAGCAAACAGG